This is a non-coding RNA of Ramicandelaber brevisporus, 73 nucleotides long. Lineage: Eukaryota; Fungi; Kickxellomycota; Ramicandelaberales; Ramicandelaberaceae. The record is from the annotation of a GenBank genome assembly.
GGGGGUCUAGCUCAAAUGGUAGAGCGUGUGAUUCGCAUUUACAAGGUAAUGGGAUCGAUACCCAUGUCCUCCA